CGGAGGCAGCAGUGGGGAAUCUUGCGCAAUGGGCGAAAGCCUGACGCAGCAACGCCGCGUGAGUGAUGAAGGUCUUCGGAUCGUAAAGCUCUGUCGGAGGGAACGAUGCCCAGGUUGGCUAACAUCCAACAGGGGUGACGGUACUCUCAAAGGAAGCACCGGCUAACUCUGUGCCAGCAGCCGCGGUAAGACAGAGGGUGCAAGCGUUGUUCGGAAUUAUUGGGCGUAAAGGGCGCGUAGGCGGUUUCGUAAGUCAGAUGUGAAAUCCCGGGGCUUAACCCCGGAAGUGCGUCUGAUACUGCGAAACUUGAGUCCCGGAGAGGGUGGUGGAAUUCCCAGUGUAGAGGUGAAAUUCGUAGAUAUUGGGAGGAAUACCGGUGGCGAAGGCGACCACCUGGACGGAGACUGACGCUGAGGCGCGAAAGCGUGGGGAGCAAACAGGAUUAGAUACCCCAGUAA
This 459-nucleotide ribosomal RNA is filed under the name uncultured bacterium. Its description in RNAcentral is "bacterial SSU rRNA". It matches the Rfam family "Bacterial small subunit ribosomal RNA", at positions 343 to 793 of the family's 1533-position model. The record is from RNAcentral.